UACGUAGGGGGUAAGCGUUAUCCGGAUUUACUGGGUGUAAAGGGAGCGCAGACGGCAGUGCAAGUCUGGAGUGAAAGCCCGGGGCCCAACCCCGGAACUGCUCUGGAAACUGUGCGGCUAGAGUACUGGAGGGGCAGGCGGAAUUCCUAGUGUAGCGGUGAAAUGCGUAGAUAUUAGGAGGAACACCAGUGGCGAAGGCGGCCUGCUGGACAGUAACUGACGUUGAGGCUCGAAAGCGUGGGGAGCAAACAGG
RNAcentral lists this ribosomal RNA (253 nucleotides) under uncultured bacterium. Its description in RNAcentral is "partial 16S ribosomal RNA". It matches the Rfam family "Bacterial small subunit ribosomal RNA", at positions 524 to 776 of the family's 1533-position model. The record is from RNAcentral.